GUCGAGAAUCUUCCGCAAUGCGCGAAAGCGUGACGGAGCGACACCGCGUGAUGGAUGAAGUCCUUCGGGGCGUAAACAUCUUUUAUAAAGGAGGAAAUUUUUGACGUUACUUUAUGAAUAAGGGGCUCCCAAUCUCGUGCCAGCAGGAGCGGUAAUACGAGAGCCUCAAGCGUUAUCCGGAAUCAUUGGGCGUAAAGGGUGCGUAGGUGGUUUGAUUAGUCUCCCGUUAAAACUUCGAGCUUAACUCGAAAAGAGCGGGGGAAACGGUCAAACUAGAGUAUGUGAGAGGUGUGUGGAACUCAUGGUGUAGGGGUGAAAUCCGUUGAUAUCAUGGGGAACACCAAAAGCGAAGGCAGCACACUGGCACAUCACUGACACUGAGGCACGAAACCUAAGGUAGCGAAUGGGAUUAGAAACCCUUGUAGUCC
RNAcentral lists this ribosomal RNA (428 nucleotides) under uncultured bacterium. Its description in RNAcentral is "bacterial SSU rRNA". It matches the Rfam family "Bacterial small subunit ribosomal RNA", at positions 354 to 796 of the family's 1533-position model. The record is from RNAcentral.